RNAcentral lists this long non-coding RNA (963 nucleotides) under Pan paniscus (pygmy chimpanzee). Its description in RNAcentral is "lncRNA (ENSPPAG00000044332.1)". Lineage: Eukaryota; Metazoa; Chordata; Mammalia; Primates; Hominidae. The record is from RNAcentral.
CAAUGCACAGAAUCACAAAAGAACUAUCCCUGAACAAGAAGCCAGACCCUGGUCUCAGCUCCGCUACUGAUCAGCUCAUCAGCGGGGGCAAACCAUUUCCCACUCUGGGAAGACAAAUGGAAACUGGAAAUGGGUGGAAUAACUUAAGCAAUAUGCUGGCUCUAGGAAUCCAGGCCAAGGCCAAAGACAGUCACAAUUUGUAGUGCCUCUGAGCCACAAAGAACCAAUAGCACUUCUCGUUAACCUUUCUACAGAAAUUCAGAGCUCCUGGAGCCACAUGAUGAGGCCCACAGGUUCAUGCAGACUUUCUUGGUCUACUCCUGAGCCUCACAGCAUACCUGAGGCACCGCAAAUGUGCAGGAUUGCAGUCUGGCAGUGGAGUGAGUAUAAGCCUCUAUAUAAACUCUGCUACAUGUGGGAGUAUGGACAUCUCUCUCAAGAGGAGCAUGGGAAGGAAGCGCAGCAGGGGCGCCAUCUAGGGACACUGCAAGGGCUUCAGGAAAGCCAUGACAUUGGAGUUGCCGGUGGUGGUGGUUAUGGUGGUGGUGAUGGUGGUGGUGGUGGUGGUGGUGGUUCUGUGGAGACUGGGGAAGGUAGGUGAAGAACAGCUGUGGAAGUCAAUGUCCCAAGACUAUACCUGGAGGAGUUGGGGAUGGCUUUAUACAUGGGGUGAGGCUUGAGAAAACAUGGCGCUCAUAAGGCCAAAAGACUUUGGUAGUGGUAAUAUUGGCUCACGUUUCCUUUCAGAUAGAUUGAAAACCAUGUGCAAAGGCAAAGGAGGUGAGAGAAAGCACUCAACCCCCAAGGAAAAUAGGCCGAGGCCAGAUCAAAAAGGUCUUUAAAUACGACACCAAAUGUCUCAACCUUCUUUCAGCUGAUGGUGUGGUGAGUGGUUCCAACACAAUACAUGCUUUGGCAACUAUUGUCACAUGCAGACAAUCUUGAGUCGCAUAACAUCUUGAC